RNAcentral lists this long non-coding RNA (1094 nucleotides) under Panax ginseng (ginseng). RNAcentral describes it as "long non-coding RNA (PGIN_LNC005341)". The record is from RNAcentral. Lineage: Eukaryota; Viridiplantae; Streptophyta; Magnoliopsida; Apiales; Araliaceae.
ACAAGUCUACUUAAGUAAGAAGACCUUAAUUAAGAUGGAGGAAAGAAAAAAGUAGCAGAGGUGGUCAAAGUGUCUUAUUACUUACUGAAAAUGAAGUUUCUUUUCAUGCAUAUGCCACUUCUUAAAUGCAUCACAUUUUCUUUUAACAUUGAUGAUUAUUACUUCACUACUGUAGCUGAAAUUGUACAAGCGAUUCUUGUUGGUGAUUUUGACAAGGCAAAAAAAAAAGAGAGCAACUAAAAUGAAAAGAAUAACACUGCUUACCCUCUUGUAUUUUAGUAUCAUGGCAUGUUUCUAGAAAUCAUGUCAAGGUUAAUCGAGAACAUUUGAAACAUAUUAUUCUCAACGAAAUGUGAUUACUUGCUUGCCUGAAAUUUUAUGAAAUAUAUCACAUGAGAGACUAGAACUACAUUUUUUUAGUAUUUUAUUUUGAGCUUUCUAACUUGGCAUAUCUUCUACCAAGAUCUUUUGCCAGUGCAAGGCAUCAUACAAUUUGAACUUAGUGUGGUCCAGACUCUAUUCUGUUGGUCCUGUAGCUUAAUGCAAGAUUAUCAUAUGUGAUCAGUUAUAGCAUAUAAGGGGGUUGCUCUGCUAGGGUUUCCUAUAUUUCUGCGUAGUCUUUUGGUACGUGUUCAGAGUACAGGAAAUUAAUGUUAAUUGUAGACCGCUGUAUAUUAGGCAAAAAAAAUAUAUAUAAUUUAGAUUAAUGACAUGGAAAACAUGACAUGAUAAACUUGUGGUCACAUAUAUCUGAUAUAUAUCUGUCUGAAUACAUGCAGAACUUAGUAACAGGUCAUUGCAGGCGAGACUACAAGGACCUACUGUAUUCAAAUCCACGCCUAAUACUGAAUUUCAAUUGAUGAUCACAGCUGUUGCCGUGUUAUAUUAUGCACAAGUGGUAUGUGAGGGAAACAAUUUAUUUUUAUUUACAGCUAGCUAGCAUCUGCCUCUUCAACGUUUUACUUCCUUAUUCGUGGCUUUUUAAUUCCAGUAAUAUAUAUAUAUUGUACUAGUAAUUACCAGUCAUUUGUCUGUAUAUUUUGUAUUGCUGUCCGUACACUUGAAUGAAGUAAGUUCUUCAGACGUCUUAACCA